This 329-nucleotide unclassified non-coding RNA is filed under the name soil metagenome. Its description in RNAcentral is "partial contains 5.8S ribosomal RNA, internal transcribed spacer 2, and large subunit ribosomal RNA". The stretch from base 1 to 120 matches the Rfam family "5.8S ribosomal RNA", at positions 35 to 154 of the family's 154-position model. The record is from RNAcentral.
GAUGAAGAACGCAGCGAAAUGCGAUAAGUAGUGUGAAUUGCAGAAUUCAGUGAAUCAUCGAAUCUUUGAACGCACAUUGCGCCCCCUGGUAUUCCGGGGGGCAUGCCUGUUCGAGCGUCAUUUCACCACUCAAGCCUCGCUUGGUAUUGGGCAACGCGGUCCGCCGCGUGCCUCAAAUCGACCGGCUGGGUCUUCUAUCCCCUAAGCGUUGUGGAAACUAUUCGCUAAAGGGUGUUCGGGAGGCUACGCCGUAAAACAACCCCAUUUCUAAGGUUGACCUCGGAUCAGGUAGGGAUACCCGCUGAACUUAAGCAUAUCAAAGCGGAGGA